CGCGCAAAUUACCCACUCCCGGCACGGGGAGGUAGUGACGAAAAAUAACGAUACGGGACUCAUCCGAGGCCCCGUAAUCGGAAUGAGUACACUUUAAAUCCUUUAACGAGGAUCAAUUGGAGGGCAAGUCUGGUGCCAGCAGCCGCGGUAAUUCCAGCUCCAAUAGCGUAUAUUAAAGCUGUUGCGGUUAAAAAGCUCGUAGUCGAACUUGUGUCCCGUGCCGUCGGUUCACCGCUCGCGGUGUUCAACUGGCGUGCCGCGGGACGUCCUGCCGGUGAACUUAGUCCGUCUCUCGGGGCGGACGGUUCAACUUACAAUCCCAUCGCGGUGCUCUUCAGUGAGUGUCGAGGUGGGCCGGCACGUUUACUUUGAACAAAUUUGAGUGCUUAAAGCAGGCUAGAAUUUUGCCUGAAUACUGUGUGCAUGGAAUAAUGGAAUAGGACCUCGGUUCUAUUUCGUUGGUUUUUGGAACUCCCGAGGUAAUGAUUAAUAGGAACGGACGGGGGCAUUCGUAUUGCGACGUUAGAGGUGAAAUUCUUGGAUCGUCGCAAGACGGACAGAAGCGAAAGCAUUUGCCAAGAACGCUUUCAUUGAUCAAGAACGAAAGUUAGAGGUUCGAAGGCGAUCAGAUACCGCCCUAGUUCUAACCAUAAACGAUGCCAGCCAGCGAUCCGCCGAUGUUCCUCCGAUGACACGGCGGGCAGCUUCCGGGAAACCAAAGCUUUUGGGUUCCGGGGGAAGUAUGGUUGCAAAGCUGAAACUUAAAGGAAUUGACGGAAGGGCACCACCAGGAGUGGAGCCUGCGGCUUAAUUUGACUCAACACGGGAAACCUCACCAGGCCCGGACACUGGUAGGAUUGACAGAUUGAGAGCUCUUUCUUGAUUCAGUGGGUGGUGGUGCAUGGCCGUUCUUAGU
Molecule: ribosomal RNA, 916 nt
Filed under: Ptomaphila lacrymosa
Lineage: Eukaryota; Metazoa; Arthropoda; Insecta; Coleoptera; Silphidae
Description: SSU rRNA
Rfam family: Eukaryotic small subunit ribosomal RNA
Source: RNAcentral